GUCGUACGCGAAAGGGACUUCGGUCCUGAGUAGAGUGGCGCACGGGUGAGUAACACGUAGUUAACUUUCCCUCUCGCUGGGGAUAACUCCGGGAAACCGGAGCUAAUACCGAAUGAUCUGACGGGGUCUGCGGACCCUUUCGGUAAAGCCGUAAGGCGCGAGAGGAUAGGGCUGCGUUCCAUUAGCUAGUUGGCGGGGUAAUGGCCCACCAAGGCUACGAUGGAUAGCUGGUCUGAGAGGAUGAUCAGCCACACUGGAACUGACACACGGUCCAGACUCCCACGGGAGGCAGCAGUUGGGAAUAUUGGACAAUGGGGGAAACCCUGAUCCAGCGACGCCGCGUGAGUGAUGAAGGCCUUCGGGUCGUAAAGCUCUUUUAGUGGGGAAGAAGGGAAACUUGACUGUACCCACAGAAAAAGCACCGGCUAACUCUGUGCCAGCAGCCGCGGUAAUACAGAGGGUGCAAGCGUUGUUCGGAAUUAUUGGGCGUAAAGCGCGUGUAGGCGGCCAUUUAAGUCUGGUGUGAAAUCCCUCGGCUCAACCGAGGAAGUGCAUUGGAUACUGAAUGGCUAGAGGAUGAGAGAGGAGAGUGGAAUUCCAGGUGUAGGGGUGAAAUCCGUAGAUAUCUGGAGGAACACCAGAGGCGAAGGCGGCUCUCUGGCUCAUUUCUGACGCUGAGACGCGAAAGCGUGGGGAGCAAACAGGAUUAGAUACCCUGGUAGUCCACGCCCUAAACGAUGGAUACUAGUCGUCGGAGUUCCUAAUCGCUCCGGUGACGAAGCUAACGCAUUAAGUAUCCCGCCUGGGAAGUACGGUCGCAAGAUUAAAACUCAAAGGAAUUGACGGGGGCCCGCACAAGCGGUGGAGCAUGUGGUUUAAUUCGAUCUACGCGAAGAACCUUACCCAGACUUGACAUCCCGCGCAUAGCCGUGAAAGCGGUGAAUUCCCUUCGGGGACGCGGUGACAGGUGCUGCAUGGCUGUCGUCAGCUCGUGUUGUGAGAUGUUGGGUUAAGUCCCGCAACGAGCGCAACCCUCGUCGCUAGUUACCAUCAUUAAGUUGGGCACUCUAGCGAGACCGCUGAGCUAUAAGCCAGAGGAAGGUGGGGAUGACGUCAAGUCCUCAUGGCCCUUAUGUCUGGGGCUACACACGUGCUACAAUGGAAAGGACAAUGCGUUGCAAGCCGGCGACGGCAAGCUAAUCGCAAAAAAACUUUUUUCAGUUCGGAUUGGAGUCUGCAACUCGACUCCAUGAAGCUGGAAUCGCUAGUAAUCGUGGAUCAGAACGCCACGGUGAAUACGUUCCCGGGCCUUGUACACACCGCCCGUCACACCAUGGAAGUUUGCUACACCGGAAAACGCCGAGCUAACCCGCAAGGGGGGCAAGCGUUUAUGGUUUGGCCGAUGACUGGGGUGAAGUCGUAACAAGGUA
RNAcentral lists this ribosomal RNA (1430 nucleotides) under metagenome. RNAcentral describes it as "bacterial SSU rRNA". It matches the Rfam family "Bacterial small subunit ribosomal RNA". The record is from RNAcentral.